Long non-coding RNA from Equus caballus (horse), 1339 nucleotides. Lineage: Eukaryota; Metazoa; Chordata; Mammalia; Perissodactyla; Equidae. The record is from Ensembl.
AGUGGAUGCAGACUGUGAGUGAUUGGCACUAGCUCAUUCAGCUGGGCAAGAAACAGGUGUUAAAGUGACUUCUCCCAUCCUACCCCUGGCAACAGUUUCUCUUCAGUUUCUGCCAGGAUUGUCUAUCGUCUCCGUAAAUUUCUACCCAAGAAUCUGGGGAGGACUCCUGCAAAUCAGGGCACGGCUGCAUAACAAAAUGGCCUCUAGCUCGAAAUUCACUGAUGCCUAUAGGAUCACCUUGGUCUUCUCUGGGAAGGUUAGGGAUAGUUAGCAGAAGAGUGGGAGGUGUACCAGAUGGAGAUGAGGCUAUCCUGGAGCAGGCGCAGCUAAUGAUGACACCAAAAUGGGGAGUGAGCAGUUUUGAAUCCUUAGGCCAGUAGACUUUUUGUAGCUUCAGAAGUAUCCUAAGAAAGAAUCUUUAAUGCUGCCUCCUCAUUCUAGGAUUUGGAAGUAUUUUGGUGCUUGCUAUUUACAAGUGCAUGAAGCAAAGUCAGUUUUUCUUUGAACAUAUGCUUUAGCAAAGUUUAGUCUUCCUCCACCUGGUUAUUUGAAGUUAAUUGUGAAGUUAAUUCCCCUAAAUGCAUGUUUCAAAUUACUGACAUUAUUUUCCUUUAGUUUUACUUUUAUAAAAAAGAGACAAACAAUAGAAAAACAAUUCCAAAACAGGAAAUAAAAAAUAAAAUUCUAUGGUGCAGAUUCAACCUAAUGUCGAGGAUUCCUUUUGUUUAUACCGCUGGACUAGGGUAAUUGGUCUACUGGCCUUUAGCCGAGUGUUCUGUGUGUCCAGCAGAGUGCUGUUAGAGGACGUGAGGCAGAGACCCUGCUUGCUGCUCUGGUGCCAGUGCUGGCCGUGAGACUUGGCUGGUGAACUGGUAGGGGGCUCAUUAGAAGUCCACUUGCUUGAGGUACUGAGGGCUCCUGGAAGCAAACCUAGCCUAAGGGAAGAGGCAACCGGAUCUACAGACUUAACCCAGUAAUAAAGCCUUUCUUAGAAGUUGGAUAAGGGGGUGCUGAAUCUGUCACUCUGCUUUUUUCCUGGCUGCUUUCCAAUAAACUCGUGUCCCAGGAAAAAGGGUUCCCUAAAUAAGGACUGUUUCCCUAAAAACUCUCAUAAGACAUUGCGGGUACAAGGAACAGGACCCAGGGGCCGUGAGAUGAUGAUCAGUGGACAUGACAACCUUCAGGGAGGGCAGCAAGUGCGCUAGGCAGAUGUGAUGGUGAUGACUGCGGUGACAGCAGAGGCAGCAGAGCCUGUGGAAGCGCUGUGGAGGCAGCGUGGAAACCUGCGGAUGAGGCUGUCUUGGAUGAGCAUCAUGGUGCUCAGCUGAGGCUGAUUACC